This 207-nucleotide ribosomal RNA is filed under the name uncultured bacterium. RNAcentral's name for it is "partial 16S ribosomal RNA". It matches the Rfam family "Bacterial small subunit ribosomal RNA", at positions 568 to 774 of the family's 1533-position model. The record is from RNAcentral.
CGUGUAGGCGGGAAUACAAGUCGGAUGUGAAAUACCGUGGCUUAACCACGGGGCUGCAUCUGAAACUGUGUUUCUUGAGUGUCGGAGAGGAAAGCGGAAUUCCCAGUGUAGCGGUGAAAUGCGUAGAUAUUGGGAGGAACACCAGUGGCGAAGGCGACUUUCUGGACGAUAACUGACGCUGAGGCGCGAAAGCGUGGGGAGCAAACA